This 226-nucleotide ribosomal RNA is filed under the name uncultured bacterium. RNAcentral's name for it is "partial 16S ribosomal RNA". It matches the Rfam family "Bacterial small subunit ribosomal RNA", at positions 118 to 345 of the family's 1533-position model. The record is from RNAcentral.
UGAGCAAUCUGCCCUUCUCAUCGGAAUAACCAUUGGAAACGAUGGCUAAUACCGAAUAUGACUUCGGAUCGCAUGAUCUGAAGUGGAAAGCUCCGGCGGUGAAGGAUGAGCUCGCGGCCUAUCAGCUAGUUGGUGUGGGUAAUGGCCCACCAAGGCGACGACGGGUAGCCGGCCUGAGAGGGUGACCGGCCACACUGGGACUGAGACACGGCCCAGAUCCUACGGG